Molecule: long non-coding RNA, 556 nt
Filed under: Gorilla gorilla gorilla (western lowland gorilla)
Lineage: Eukaryota; Metazoa; Chordata; Mammalia; Primates; Hominidae
Description: lncRNA (ENSGGOG00000044549.1)
Source: RNAcentral
CCUCGGGAAGCUCCGGCUGUUUGCAUGGGGAGGAGUCGGCCCCUCCCGUUCCUGUGCGGUAAACGGCAAGUCAGUCUGUGACAUGGGGGCCUGUUGACAGGAGCCACUCUCACUCAGGAGCCCCUCUCACUUUGUUGAGAAUCUUUUUCCUUUUCACCCAAUACAUUCCGUAACUUCUCACCCUUCAAAGUGUCUGCGUGCCUAAUCUUUCCUGGUCGUGUCGCAAGAACCGAGUUUUUCCUACAACAACAAGAGGGAAGUAACCUGGGUCCCUGAAUUUCAUCCGAAGAGCAGCUGCCCUCUGAUCUGAAAUACUCAUUUUGUCUUUAUGUGAGGAAGAUAUAAACUUUCACUGGGGUUCUGUUAAAGACAGCUUCUUCUUGCUUCUCAGAAACACUGGCUGCUCAUCUGGCCCCAAAAUCUGCACAUGGUUCAUUCCUUCAUUUCAUAUAAAGACUACCAAAGACUGCAAGACUCCUCUGCAGAAAGGAGUGUACAAUGGAAGAAACAAUCCUGAGCUGGAAGUCAGAGCCAGGGGUUCUGGUCCCAACACUCC